AAGAUUAAGCCAUGCAUGUCUAAGUAUAAGCGAAUUUAUACAGUGAAACUGCGAAUGGCUCAUUAAAUCAGUUAUAGUUUAUUUGAUAGUACCUUUCUACUCGGAUAUCCGUGGUAAUUCUAGAGCUAAUACGUGCUAAAAACCCCGACUGUUUGGGAGGGGUGUAUUUAUUAGAUAAAAAAUCAAUGUCUUCGGACUCUUUGAUGAUUCAUAAUAACUUUUCGAAUCGCAU
RNAcentral lists this ribosomal RNA (232 nucleotides) under uncultured fungus. RNAcentral describes it as "partial 18S ribosomal RNA". It matches the Rfam family "Eukaryotic small subunit ribosomal RNA", at positions 40 to 274 of the family's 1831-position model. Lineage: Eukaryota; Fungi. The record is from RNAcentral.